Molecule: transfer RNA, 65 nt
Filed under: Cherax parvus
Lineage: Eukaryota; Metazoa; Arthropoda; Malacostraca; Decapoda; Parastacidae
Description: tRNA-Pro
Rfam family: tRNA
About the family: Transfer RNA (tRNA) molecules are approximately 80 nucleotides in length. Their secondary structure includes four short double-helical elements and three loops (D, anti-codon, and T loops).
Source: RNAcentral
CAGAAAAUAGUUUAAAAAAAUAUUAAUUUUGGAAAUUAAAGAUAAAGUCCCAACUUUUUUUCUGA